GAUGAAGAACGCAGCGAAAUGCGAUAAGUAAUGUGAAUUGCAGAAUUCAGUGAAUCAUCGAAUCUUUGAACGCACAUUGCGCCCCUUGGUAUUCCGAGGGGCAUGCCUGUUCGAGCGUCAUUAUAACCCCUCAAGCUCAGCUUGGUGUUGGGGCCUGCUGCACUGGCAGCCCUUAAAAUCAGUGGCGGCGCCAUCUGGCUCUAAGCGUAGUAAUUCUUCUCGCUAUGGAGUCCUGGUGGAUGCCUGCCAUCAACCCCCAAUUUUUCUAUGGUUGACCUCGGAUCAGGUAGGGAUACCCGCUGAACUUAAGCAUAUCAAUAAGCGGAGGA
RNAcentral lists this unclassified non-coding RNA (329 nucleotides) under soil metagenome. RNAcentral's name for it is "partial contains 5.8S ribosomal RNA, internal transcribed spacer 2, and large subunit ribosomal RNA". The stretch from base 1 to 120 matches the Rfam family "5.8S ribosomal RNA", at positions 35 to 154 of the family's 154-position model. The record is from RNAcentral.